This 662-nucleotide ribosomal RNA is filed under the name Botrylloides giganteus. Its description in RNAcentral is "small ribosomal RNA". Lineage: Eukaryota; Metazoa; Chordata; Ascidiacea; Stolidobranchia; Styelidae. The record is from RNAcentral.
GAGAGUUUGGGAGAAGUUUUGUUUUUGUUUAUUAUGAGAAAUAUUUUGGUGAGGCUUGGACCAAGAUCCUACAAUUAUUGGAGGGAGGAGUGGUUGAAAUUAAACAAUGAUAAAUUUGAUUUAGUUGAGUAUUAAAUAGAUAAAAUAAGUGCCAGUAAUCACGGUUAUACUUAUUAUGGUUUAAGGUUGUAUGUAAUAUUUUAUUAGUGGAGUUUCUGAUCUGUGGCGAGUUUAAUGGGGGCGGAUUGGAAAAGAAAAAAUUUAUUAAAGUGGAUUAGAUACCCAUGUAAAAAAUAAAUAUAGAUAGAUUAAAAAUGAAAUAUAAAUAAUUAGACGGUUUGGCUAAAUACAGAGGUGCUUGUUUUAUAAUAUGAUAGUCCGCAUUAAAUCUCCACCCUUUAAUAAAGUGUAUGUCCGUAAGGUACAAGAUAAUUUUUGUAUGGAUCAGGUCUCCAUGCUAUUUGGGUGGUUUACUAUGAGCAGCAAUAAGGUUUUUUGUUCAGGCUUGAGAGUGCGUGAUUUAAAGGGGAUUUGUAAGUAAAUAAAUGUUAGUAUCUUUUUUUGAAGGAGGUUAGCCGGAGUACUCACCGCCCGCCAAUAAGAUUGUAAACUUUUAUAAAGCGUAACAAGGUAAGUUUUCUAGAAGGAGAACUUGGUAGAGU